UACGUAGGUGGCGAGCGUUAUCCGGAAUUAUUGGGCGUAAAGAGCGCGCAGGUGGUUGAUUAAGUCUGAUGUGAAAGCCCACGGCUUAACCGUGGAGGGUCAUUGGAAACUGGUCGACUUGAGUGCAGAAGAGGGAAGUGGAAUUCCAUGUGUAGCGGUGAAAUGCGUAGAGAUAUGGAGGAACACCAGUGGCGAAGGCGGCUUCCAGGUCUGUAACUGACACUGAGGCGCGAAAGCGUGGGGAGCAAACAGGAUUAGAUA
Molecule: ribosomal RNA, 261 nt
Filed under: uncultured prokaryote
Description: partial 16S ribosomal RNA
Rfam family: Bacterial small subunit ribosomal RNA
Source: RNAcentral